This 74-nucleotide transfer RNA is filed under the name Haliscomenobacter sp. RNAcentral describes it as "tRNA-Ala". It matches the Rfam family "tRNA". Rfam says of the family: Transfer RNA (tRNA) molecules are approximately 80 nucleotides in length. Their secondary structure includes four short double-helical elements and three loops (D, anti-codon, and T loops). Lineage: Bacteria; Pseudomonadati; Bacteroidota; Saprospiria; Saprospirales; Haliscomenobacteraceae. The record is from RNAcentral.
GGGGGAUUAGCUCAGUUGGCUAGAGCACCUGCUUUGCAAGCAGGGGGUCAUCGGUUCGAAUCCGAUAUCCUCCA